CCUUUAGACCUGUGCAACGGCUUGGCAGGACACCGGGUCAGGACGGGAACGUAGCAGCCCACCCUGUCUUGCCGUGUGCCGCAGGGAUCUGGAGGGGA
This 98-nucleotide signal recognition particle RNA is filed under the name Hydrogenimonas sp. Its description in RNAcentral is "signal recognition particle sRNA small type". It matches the Rfam family "Bacterial small signal recognition particle RNA". From Rfam's summary of the family: The signal recognition particle (SRP) is a universally conserved ribonucleoprotein involved in the co-translational targeting of proteins to membranes. Archaeal SRP consists of a 7S RNA and homologues of the eukaryotic SRP19 and SRP54 proteins. Lineage: Bacteria; Pseudomonadati; Campylobacterota; Epsilonproteobacteria; Campylobacterales; Hydrogenimonadaceae. The record is from RNAcentral.